CCCCCUAUAGCUCAGUUGGUUAGAGCAGAGGACUCAUAAUCCUUGUGUCCCAGGUCCAAGUCCUGGUGGGGGGA
RNAcentral lists this transfer RNA (74 nucleotides) under Candidatus Ancillula trichonymphae. RNAcentral describes it as "tRNA-Ile". It matches the Rfam family "tRNA". Rfam says of the family: Transfer RNA (tRNA) molecules are approximately 80 nucleotides in length. Their secondary structure includes four short double-helical elements and three loops (D, anti-codon, and T loops). The record is from RNAcentral. Lineage: Bacteria; Bacillati; Actinomycetota; Actinomycetes; Bifidobacteriales; Bifidobacteriaceae.